CGCGCCUGUUUCCUACUGGCGAUGCUGAAGGCUAGGAUUCACUGGUCGCUGGGUUCGGUGCCCAGACCCGCCCCCUGGCUCCCAGAUCCGCUUGCGCCUGCUGUAGUGCGCUGUGCCCGCCAAUCAGCGAGCUCGGGGCGUGGUCUGCUGAAGUAUAGAGCACGGACACCAGGAAGAGAGGAACCAUGGUUUAUUCACUGCCAACUCUCCAACACUAGAAUGGUGCCCUGAUCCUGUUUUUCUACAGCUUUUGUACUUUUCUGGGGAAGAUUAUACAGUGUAUGUGUGUAGUAUUACUCAGGAACACAUGCUUCUCAGGAUAUCACCCAAGAUACAGGAAACUGAAGAUGAGAGAAAGUGUCAACCUGCAAAGGAUGGCUGUGGCAGAGAUAUUGGAUGUACAACCAGGUGGGGACUGCCUUACUCAUCCUGAAGUAUUGGGCACCAGGACACCUCCUCCAGAGAGCCUGCCUUAACCUCUCAUCCACCUCAGCUGAGAGCAGGGACUAGUUCAGUGAAGAGUGACCACAUUUGUGAGCAUUUUUUGCUCUAAUUUUCCCAGGUCCCAUGACAGCUCAUCACUAGACUCAGUGACAACACCUUCUUUCUCCUUCCUCCUGGCCUAGCAGUGGGACCAUCUUCCUGGAUGCUCACCCUAAGCCCUUCACCGUCCCUUGUC
Molecule: long non-coding RNA, 679 nt
Organism: Tupaia belangeri chinensis (Chinese tree shrew)
Lineage: Eukaryota; Metazoa; Chordata; Mammalia; Scandentia; Tupaiidae
Exons: 5
Source: RefSeq, a predicted model, not a curated record